Molecule: microRNA, 22 nt
Filed under: Ornithorhynchus anatinus (platypus)
Lineage: Eukaryota; Metazoa; Chordata; Mammalia; Monotremata; Ornithorhynchidae
Description: Oan-Mir-599_3p* (star (passenger))
Source: RNAcentral
GUUGUGUCAGUGUAUCAGACAC